This 87-nucleotide non-coding RNA is filed under the name Streptomyces sp. The record is from RNAcentral. Lineage: Bacteria; Bacillati; Actinomycetota; Actinomycetes; Kitasatosporales; Streptomycetaceae.
AGAGGAAGUCCGGUGCGAAUCCGGCGCGGUCCCGCCACUGUCACCGGGGAGCACACGCGACGCGUGCACCCCGGGAGCCAGGAACUC